AAGCGCUUGCAACCAGACUUGCACGCGGUUAAUCAUCCGGUGUUCUCACCGGUGCACUUGACCGCGUUCAGGCCAGCAUCGGUUCGGGUGGCAGGAUAAAGGCCUUGGGAAUGUAGCUUCUUUCGGGGAGUGUUAUAGCCUAUUGUAUAAUACCUUUAUGGGGACCGAGGUACGCGCUCUGCAAGGAUGCUGGCGUAAU
This 199-nucleotide ribosomal RNA is filed under the name Helotiales sp. RNAcentral's name for it is "partial large subunit ribosomal RNA". The record is from RNAcentral. Lineage: Eukaryota; Fungi; Ascomycota; Leotiomycetes; Helotiales.